This 320-nucleotide ribosomal RNA is filed under the name Limosilactobacillus reuteri. RNAcentral describes it as "bacterial SSU rRNA". It matches the Rfam family "Bacterial small subunit ribosomal RNA", at positions 1097 to 1418 of the family's 1533-position model. Lineage: Bacteria; Bacillati; Bacillota; Bacilli; Lactobacillales; Lactobacillaceae. The record is from RNAcentral.
CGCAACCCUUGUUACUAGUUGCCAGCAUUAAGUUGGGCACUCUAGUGAGACUGCCGGUGACAAACCGGAGGAAGGUGGGGACGACGUCAGAUCAUCAUGCCCCUUAUGACCUGGGCUACACACGUGCUACAAUGGACGGUACAACGAGUCGCAAGCUCGCGAGAGUAAGCUAAUCUCUUAAAGCCGUUCUCAGUUCGGACUGUAGGCUGCAACUCGCCUACACGAAGUCGGAAUCGCUAGUAAUCGCGGAUCAGCAUGCCGCGGUGAAUACGUUCCCGGGCCUUGUACACACCGCCCGUCACACCAUGGGAGUUUGUAAC